GAUGAACGCUGGCGGCGUGCCUAACACAUGCAAGUCGAGCGAAGCGCCUUACUUGAUUUCUUCGGGAUGAAAGUAUUGUGACUGAGCGGCGACGGGUGAAGGUAACGCGUGGGUAACCUGCCUUAUACAGGGGGAUAACAGUUAGAAAUGGCUGCUAAUACCGCAUAAGCGCACAGGGCCGCAUGGCCCGGUGUGAAAAACUCCGGUGGUAUAAGAUGGACCCGCGUCUGAUUAGCUGGUUGGUGGGGUAACGGCCCACCAAGGCGACGAUCAGUAGCCGGCCUGAGAGGGUGAACGGCCACAUUGGGACUGAGACACGGCCCAG
RNAcentral lists this ribosomal RNA (325 nucleotides) under uncultured bacterium. RNAcentral's name for it is "bacterial SSU rRNA". It matches the Rfam family "Bacterial small subunit ribosomal RNA", at positions 28 to 334 of the family's 1533-position model. The record is from RNAcentral.